Molecule: long non-coding RNA, 358 nt
Organism: Limulus polyphemus (Atlantic horseshoe crab)
Lineage: Eukaryota; Metazoa; Arthropoda; Merostomata; Xiphosura; Limulidae
Exons: 2
Source: RefSeq, a predicted model, not a curated record
ACGUACAAGCUGAUGAAAUCACGUGCCAUCUUGCGCAUAAUUUAAGUGGUUAGCGUCAAGCACAUGUAUUGCGUCACACAUGAUUGCUCGUGGUAACACAAAAACUUAGUUAACAUUUGUAAUUAGAGGAUAAGUUUUUGGAUGGGUCGAGAAAUUAUCCAAUCUUGCAGAAACGACAAACAUUUUAUGGAUGACCACGGCUUCACUCGAAAGAUCAAAGGGCACGUGGCAAUAUGCAGCACCACAGUAGAAGAAAGUUCAACAAAUAACAUGACAUCAGUGAUAACGUCCACAAACAAGAACCAAAACCAUUUAUCAGUGGAGCCAACAUCUUAUUCGUUAUUUUCCAAAUCAUCGU